This is a long non-coding RNA of Oryzias latipes (Japanese medaka), 2448 nucleotides long. RefSeq lists it as uncharacterized. The record is from RefSeq and is a predicted model, not a curated record. NCBI's taxonomy places the organism in Eukaryota, Metazoa, Chordata, Actinopteri, Beloniformes, Adrianichthyidae.
GGAAAAUUUGGCUUGAAAUGACAUUUCUGAGUUAUUAUUUAUCCAAACUGUUGGAAUGCCGUUGGAUAAAGCUUGUUGAUGUAAGACGAACAACGACAGGCCACAAGCCCCCUGCUCCGCUCCAUUCUGAUGCCCUUGAAGAUGACUAGAUCAAUGUGCGUCUCUCUUAUCCUCGUCUGAGCUCAAAAGUGUACGGCUCCGAUAUUGUUUACAAUUUUCCAAUCAUGUUUGGUUGGGGUGAAGUGCUGUAAGCUAGCGGGAGAGCAUGUAAACAGAUGGAUGACGGGAAGGGGUGAGAGGCUCACUCAGCGCCAAAAGUCCCGCCAACAACUGAACUCUAGCUGCUCUGCAGAAACUAUGUCCUAGAAAACUACACAUGUUUUUGGAUUUUGGUGAAAAACUGCAUAAAUGAAAGUGAUCAGAAUGGGACUUUAGAGCCAACAAACGUGUUGGAUGAAGAGUCAGCUGUGCUCCCAGAUGAAGCUGUUUUGAUAUUUCCUCGUUUAAACUAAACAUUAAAGGAACCAAACCGCUAAAUGAUGGUUGGUUUGGUCUGAGCAUGAACUGGGAAGUGGAAAAAUCAAAGGCGAUCCAUGAUUGUUCUGUCUGGACAGUGUUUUAGAGCCAUUACUGCCACUAUGCUGUUCAUACAGGUGUGAAUAACAUCAGUCUGCAAAGCCAAGAUCUGUCUUCAUCCUCCAAGCCUUUGAAGGGGAGGCGUGCUUCUCCAUCCUCUGAGGGGGGGCUGUCCAUCAAACCAGGACGUCUAUGGAAACCAAAUGCAGAAUCUCUCCAUCAUCAGGACCCCCUCCCCUCAUGAUGCUGACACGAUGAGAGCACAAACCCUCACUGCAAAAAGAAUUAACACCGCAGGUGUUUUUAUAUCUCAGGUGAGCAAAUGAAACCAGAUGGUUCCCACGACGUUUGCGCAAACGGGCUUAUUCCACGCGCCGUGAAUUAGGCCGCGCGCGCUGACCUCGUGCGGAUUACAGAGGAGCCCGUAUGUGGAAGAUAAGCGGCCUGGCAGAGACGCUGGCUCUGGUGACUAGACGAAGAGGGAAAAAAAGGGCUUGGCAUUUACGCACAGGCGCAGAACUGUCCCUGCUUCACGGCUGAUCCAUCAUAACGUCAUUUUAUGGCCCAACUGUAUGUGAAUACGAAUCCACGCUGAUUAUUUGUGUUUUUCCCCCUGUUUUUGCACAUUAUUUCCAUGAUUGCUAUAAAAAUGAGGCGCAUGCCAUGAUUCACGAGGCACGCAGCCAUGAAAACAGAGAUGAACCAAAGAAACGAAAGAUCCAGAAUAAACCAGAGGGAGAGAGGAAAAGGAACGACGGGGACUCAGGAGAACCUCCACCCUGACGGACUGCACAGUCCAAAGCAGACAAAGAGAAGCAGGUUUUGGGGAGCGCGCAAAGGACAAGAUGAAGAUCUGUGCGUCUGGAAGAGGAGGACCAGCUCCGGAGAAUGAUGGAGACGUUCGUCCUCAUGGCAUGAUGAUGGAGGGGGAGGAAACGUGCAUUUCUUUCUUUAUUUUUUUUAAACAGGGAGGCGACCACUCCUCUCGAGCACGGAGGAAUGAUGGCCGCAACAGAAACGCGGUUUUUUUUUGUUUUGUUUUUUUGGAGAGGAAGAUGAGGAGCUGAGGGGAGCAAGAGCGGGGUGGUUAAAGGUUUGGGGAGAUGAGGAGAUGCAGCUGCGGGUCCAUCUUCGUGUUUCUGAGCGCACAACAGGCCCAGCCUAUCCCCCCCGAAAAGAACAAGUGACAAGCAAGCAGGCAAACGCUGAUGGAGGAGUGGAGGCUGCUCGAAGCUCCUUCUCCCCCGCGCCUCCUGCGGGAUCGCGCCCGCAUGGGGUUCGGGUAAAACACGCAAAGACCUCGACGCGGCUUUCUUACCUGGGUGCAGACUGCGGGCUUGUCUCUUCAGCUGCGGUCGCUCACCGGGCGCACACGGCUUCUCCUCGCAGGGGCGGCGGCAGGCCGGUGGGGGGCGCUGCGGAGCGCGCAGGAGAGCAGAGGGGAGCGACAGUCCUGAAAUGCAUCCUGUCUGUCCGCUAACAGCAGCCAUCUGCUGACAUGUAAACGAAAGCUGCUGUGAUGAGACAAAAUAAACGCGUCAAGCAAAGAAUAAAUGAGUUCUUUUACCUCCAACACCAAAGUCCUCCACGAUCCCACCUCUCCAAUGGUUGAGCUGAAAUGACAAAAACAAGCAAACCCCAAACAUGAAGCAAUAACGACAUUUAAAAUCUGUUCAUUUUUAGUAUUUUUGUUGCCCUCAGCUCAAAUAAGCUCCUUAUGAGACUGUAUGUUUGGCAGUUUUCGUCAGGUUGUCUUGCUUCUCUUUGUGUAAAGGAGACUCUUUAAUGCCCUACUCCUCUGAAAAUUCUGUUUUUGGUGUUUUGGAGGACAAAUAAUAGAACAAAUUAAGAUUAAAAUUGCAUGUUUGGUUA